RNAcentral lists this unclassified non-coding RNA (242 nucleotides) under uncultured Pseudeurotium. Its description in RNAcentral is "sequence contains ITS2". The stretch from base 1 to 52 matches the Rfam family "5.8S ribosomal RNA", at positions 103 to 154 of the family's 154-position model. The record is from RNAcentral. Lineage: Eukaryota; Fungi; Ascomycota; Leotiomycetes; Thelebolales; Pseudeurotiaceae.
AACGCACAUUGCGCCCCCUGGUAUUCCGGGGGGCAUGCCUGUUCGAGCGUCAUUACAACCCUCAAGCUCUGCUUGGUAUUGGGCUCUGCCGGUCCCGGCAGGCCCCAAAAUCAGUGGCGGUGCCAUCCGGCUUCAAGCGUAGUAAUUCUUCUCGCUUUGGAGGCCCGGGUGCGUGCUUGCCAGCAACCCCCAAUUUUUUUCAGGUUGACCUCGGAUCAGGUAGGGAUACCCGCUGAACUUAA